UACAGAGACUGCAAGCGUUAUUCGGAUUCACUGGGCGUAAAGGGUGCGCAGGCGGCCGUGUGUGUGAGGCGUGAAAGCCCGGGGCUUAACCCCGGAAUUGCACCUCAAACUACACGGCUAGAGCAUUGGAGAGGGUAGCAGAAUUCAUGGUGUAGCAGUGAAAUGCGUAGAUAUCAUGAGGAAUACCUAUUGCGAAGGCAGCUCGCUGGGACGUAACUGACGCUGAGACGCGAAAGCGUGGGGAGCAAACAGG
RNAcentral lists this ribosomal RNA (253 nucleotides) under uncultured bacterium. Its description in RNAcentral is "partial 16S ribosomal RNA". It matches the Rfam family "Bacterial small subunit ribosomal RNA", at positions 524 to 776 of the family's 1533-position model. The record is from RNAcentral.